GAGUUUGAUCCUGGCUCAGAACGAACGCUGGCGGCAGGCCUAACACAUGCAAGUCGAACGAGAAGCCACCUUCGGGUGGUGGACAGUGGCAGACGGGUGAGUAACGCGUGGGAACGUGCCUUUCGGUUCGGAAUAACCCAGGGAAACUUGGGCUAAUACCGGAUACGCCCUUCGGGGGAAGAUUCAUUGCCGAAAGAUCGGCCCGCGUCGGAUUAGCUAGUUGGUGGGGUAAUGGCUCACCAAGGCGACGAUCCGUAGCUGGUCUGAGAGGAUGACCAGCCACACUGGGACUGAGACACGGCCCAGACUCCUACGGGAGGCAGCAGUGGGGAAUAUUGGACAAUGGGCGAAAGCCUGAUCCAGCCAUGCCGCGUGGGUGAAGAAGGCCUUA
This 391-nucleotide ribosomal RNA is filed under the name uncultured Alphaproteobacteria bacterium. RNAcentral's name for it is "bacterial SSU rRNA". It matches the Rfam family "Bacterial small subunit ribosomal RNA", at positions 9 to 419 of the family's 1533-position model. The record is from RNAcentral. Lineage: Bacteria; Pseudomonadati; Pseudomonadota; Alphaproteobacteria.